RNAcentral lists this ribosomal RNA (442 nucleotides) under uncultured bacterium. RNAcentral's name for it is "partial 16S ribosomal RNA". It matches the Rfam family "Bacterial small subunit ribosomal RNA", at positions 29 to 507 of the family's 1533-position model. The record is from RNAcentral.
AUGAACGCUGGCGGCAUGCCUAACACAUGCAAGUCGAUCGGUAAGGCUCUUCGGAGUACACGAGAGGCGGACGGCUGAGUAACGCGUAGGAACACACCCUGCAGUGAGGGAUAAGACACCGAAAGGUGUUCUAAUACCGCAUACGGUCUUCGGAUUAAAGCAUUUAUGCGCUGAAGGAGUGGCCUGCGUCAUAUUAGAUAGUUGGUGAGGUAAUGGCUCACCAAGUCGAUGAUGUGUAGCUGGUCUGAGAGGAUGAUCAGCCAGACUGGAACUGAGACACGGUCCAGAAUCCUACGGGAGGCAGCAGUGAGGAAUAUUUCACAAUGAGCGAAAGCUUGAUGGAGCAAUGCCGCGUGCAGGAUGAAGGCCCUCGGGUUGUAAACUGCUUUUAUAAGAGAAGAUUAUGACGGUAACUUAUGAAUAAGGGACGGCUAACUACGUG